Molecule: ribosomal RNA, 502 nt
Filed under: uncultured Glomeromycotina
Lineage: Eukaryota; Fungi; Glomeromycota
Description: partial small subunit ribosomal RNA
Rfam family: Eukaryotic small subunit ribosomal RNA
Source: RNAcentral
CCAAUAGCGUAUAUUAAAGUUGUUGCAGUUAAAAAGCUCGUAGUUGAAUUUCGGAAUUUUUUUAUCGGUUGAAUCAACAGGUUCUUACUGAUUUUAAGAAUUUCUACCUUCUGGAGAACCUUAAUGUCAUUUAUUUGAUGUUUUGGGAAACCAGGACUGUUACCUUGAAAAAAUUAGAGUGUUUAAAGCAGGCUUAUGUCUGAAUAUAUUAGCAUGGAAUAAUGAAAUAGGACGGCAUGGUUCUAUUUUGUUGGUUUCUAGGAUCACCGUAAUGAUUAAUAGGGAUAGUUGGGGGCAUUAGUAUUCAAUUGUAAGAGGUGAAAUUCUUGGAUUUAUUGAAGACUAACUUCUGCGAAAGCAUUUGCCAAGGAUGUUUUCAUUAAUCAAGAACGAAAGUUAGGGGAUCGAAGACGAUCAGAUACCGUCGUAGUCUUAACCAUAAACUAUGCCGACUAGGAAUCGGACGAAGUUAAUUUUUUAAUGACUCGUUCGGCGCCUUACG